UCCGCCAUAGCUCAGUUGGUAGUAGCGCAUGACUGUUAAUCAUGAUGUCGUAGGUUCGAGUCCUACUGGCGGAGUGA
RNAcentral lists this transfer RNA (77 nucleotides) under Streptococcus salivarius SK126. RNAcentral's name for it is "tRNA-Asn". It matches the Rfam family "tRNA". From Rfam's summary of the family: Transfer RNA (tRNA) molecules are approximately 80 nucleotides in length. Their secondary structure includes four short double-helical elements and three loops (D, anti-codon, and T loops). Further hydrogen bonds mediate the characteristic L-shaped molecular structure. tRNAs have two regions of fundamental functional importance: the anti-codon, which is responsible for specific mRNA codon recognition, and the 3' end, to which the tRNAs corresponding amino acid is attached (by aminoacyl-tRNA synthetases). tRNAs cope with the degeneracy of the genetic code in two manners: having more than one tRNA (with a specific anti-codon) for a particular amino acid; and 'wobble' base-pairing, i.e. permitting non-standard base-pairing at the 3rd anti-codon position. The record is from RNAcentral. Lineage: Bacteria; Bacillati; Bacillota; Bacilli; Lactobacillales; Streptococcaceae.